GAUCCUGGCUCAGGAUGAACGCUAGCUACAGGCUUAACACAUGCAAGUCGAGGGGCAGCAUUUUAGUUUGCUUGCAAACUGAAGAUGGCGACCGGCGCACGGGUGAGUAACACGUAUCCAACCUGCCGAUAACUCCGGAAUAGCCUUUCGAAAGAAAGAUUAAUACCGGAUAGUAUACGAAUAUCGCAUGGUAUUUUUAUUAAAGAAUUUCGGUUAUCGAUGGGGAUGCGUUCCAUUAGUUUGUUGGCGGGUAACGG
Molecule: ribosomal RNA, 257 nt
Filed under: uncultured bacterium
Lineage: Bacteria
Description: partial 16S ribosomal RNA
Rfam family: Bacterial small subunit ribosomal RNA
Source: RNAcentral